AGGGAUCAUUUACAGAGUUCAUGCCCUUCGGGGUAGAUCUCCACCCUAUGUAUUUAUACUCUUGUUGCUUUGGUAGGCCGCUGGGCUUCGGCUUGGCCACCGGCUCACGCUGGUGUGUGCCUACCAGAGGCUAUCAAACUCUGAAUGUUAGUGUCGUCUGAGUACUAUAUAAUAGUUAAAACUUUCAACAACGGAUCUCUUGGCUCUGGCAUCGAUGAAGAACGCAGCGAAAUGCGAUAAGUAAUGUGAAUUGCAGAAUUCAGUGAAUCAUCGAAUCUUUGAACGCACAUUGCGCCCUCUGGUAUUCCGGAGGGCAUGCCUGUUCGAGCGUCAUUACAACCCUCAAGCUCUGCUUGGUAUUGGGCCGCGGGCGUCGGCCCGGGCCUUAAAAUCAGUGGCGGUGCCACCUGGCUCUGAGCGUAGUACAUCUCUCGCUAUAGAUGCCCGGUGGAUGCUUGCCAUAACCCCCAAUUUUUUAAUGGUUGACCUCGGAUCAGGUAGGGAUACCCGCUGAACUUAA
RNAcentral lists this ribosomal RNA (520 nucleotides) under fungal sp. T7. RNAcentral's name for it is "eukaryotic LSU rRNA". The stretch from base 180 to 333 matches the Rfam family "5.8S ribosomal RNA". Lineage: Eukaryota; Fungi. The record is from RNAcentral.